RNAcentral lists this long non-coding RNA (16116 nucleotides) under Eucalyptus grandis. RNAcentral describes it as "long non-coding RNA (EGRA_LNC006236)". The record is from RNAcentral. Lineage: Eukaryota; Viridiplantae; Streptophyta; Magnoliopsida; Myrtales; Myrtaceae.
CUCUCCCCCUCCUAUCCAGCCCCUUAUCUUUUGGUACACAAAUCUAUCUUUUUAGGGCGCGUUUGGUUGUGUUACUGUUUAAAAAUUGUUCCAGGGAACAGAAAUAGAAAAAAGUGUUUCUGUUCCGGGGAACAAUUUUUGAACAAAAAUACGCGUUUGGUAAACUUGUUUCGGGAAUAAAAAAUAAACAGAAACAUGUUUGGUAAAUUUGGUUAAUUUUUUUAUUUCUUUUAUUUUUUCUAUUUUUUUCUUAUUUUUCCUUUUUUUCUUUUUUCUUUUUCAUUUUUUUUUCUUCUUUUGGCCGGCGACCGGCCGGCGAGGGCCGACCUCGCCCAGCGGCGGGCGAGGCGCGGCCUCGCCGGGCCACCGCCAGGCGAGGCCGAGGCUCGCCGGCCGUUGGGCGAGCUCAGCCUCGCCGGCCUGGGCGUUCUUGUCACGAGGCNNNNNNNNNNNNNNNNNNNNNNNNNNNNNNNNNNNNNNNNNNNNNNNNNNNNNNNNNNNNNNNNNNNNNNNNNNNNNNNNNNNNNNNNNNNNNNNNNNNNCACCCAAACUUGUAUACUUUUGAUAAAUUCAUCCAAAACUAAUACACUUGUAACAAAUUUAUCAUAUAAUAGUUUCUAUUUAAUUUUAUUGUCAAAUUAUUGAGUUAAAUGACACAUAACAAUUGAUUGGAAUACCUAUUUAGGAUUUUACUCUUUAUUUGUCAUAGUUGUAUCAUUUUUGUAUUUUUUGUUAAUGGAGAGUAUAUUUUUCAUAAAUAUAUAAGUUCAAACUUUUUGGCAGUCAAACAAAUUAGUUUGACAUAAAAUUAUCAUGAGUGUACUAAUUUGAGAUUUUUUGUGAUCAUUUGAGGUAAAUUUAUCACAGAUAUACUAGUUGUGAGUUUUUCGUGGUAAAAAAAAUAAUUUUGAGUAAAUUUAUUAUAAGUAUACUAAUUUAAGAAUUUUCAAGGUAUUAGUCCUUUACAUUAUCAUUCUUCCUUCCAUUUUCAUUAGCAAUGCGGCAAAACUCUAGGCGUCGACGUCACCAACGCUCUUGUAGAACAACUCAGAUGCCACACACCAAAAAGUUUCUCUUGCUAUAGUCAAGAAUAGUGUCGUGAUUUGAGAGUUGAAGUUUUGCAAGUUGAAGUUGAAAGUCAGAUUUUUCGGGAGUGUAAUUCUCUAUCUAGAUAGACUUUAUUUUAUGAUCUAUAAAGGAAGUAAUAUGUGGUACGAUUCAAUAAUAAGUUUCUUAUUUAAAACAAUUCAUCAAUAUUUUUACAUUUUUGGAUGGAGUGGUCCAAGUCCUUUUAACUUGAAUCUUAGGCUAAAGAUGGAAUUUGGAUAGUCUUCAGAGGGACCGAAUUACUCAGUUGAAUCCGGCCAAAGCCCAACCAAAUAAGACCUUCAUCACCGAAUGUACCCAAAGCGCCAAAGGCAAAGAAAUUAAUUAUGGAUUGGGAGGCAAAAACUGAAACUCAAUCCAUUACAAAACUAACAAUUGUUUUUCUAAAAUUGGUGAAUCGUUGAAUACCCAACCAUUAGCAUACUAAAAUAAAAUUUAGAUCGUCAAAUCUAAUGAUAAAUUCGCCGCUAUUAAUGUUCCAAGUGUAGUUUAACAGAGACUCCACACUCAGACUCAUCUAUAUUCAUACAUCGAUAUCCAAGUCGUUAAAGUUCUAGCAAGGCUAAGCCACAUGCAUGCUUAUAUGCAAGUUUUACCCAAUAAUUUAUAUAUGUAGUCAUUUUAGCAAAUAUUUCAUUCCGGUAAAUCUCGAAUUUAGCAUCUCUACUUUUAUGCAUAUUUUGGUAAUAAAUUUGUAAGAUAGAAUUAUGCAUAUUUUGAUUGUAAAUAUAUGUAAAAAAUUGUUUACAUAACACAUAUAUUGAUCAUCCCAUGUUUUCAAGUAGAUUAGUUUGAAAGCAUUAUUAGAAGAAUUAGCGGAUGCAUAAUUGACAUAGACGGGACUAUUGAAGCAUAUCUAGAGUAUUCGGAUAGGUAGAACCAUAAAUCAAUUGGCAAGCUCGAGGCAAGAAUGGUCGCACAUUGAUUUUUUCCUUCCUUUUGGCUGGAGAGAGUAUUUCGUUUUAUAGGAGAAAAACAAGUACAACGGCAACACCAUUUGACAAAAGAGACAGAAUCAGUAUUUCAUUCCAUUGUUCUUUUCUCUACUUAUAUAUAUCUUCCCUUCAAGUCUUUUUUUUAAGGGUAAAUAUAUCAUAGUAGACAUAAUUUGUGAUUUUUGAUGCCUUAUACCCUUAGAAAAAUUCAUCAAUAACUUACAUUUGGGGUUUAAAUGGUCCAAGUCCUUCUAAGUUGGAUCUUAAGCUAAAGAUGGAAUUUGGAUAUUCUCCGGAGGGACUAGAUUACUCAGCUGAAUCCGGCUAAGACCCAGCCGAAUAAGACCUUCAUCAUCAAACGAGCCCAAAGUGACGAAGGCAAAGAAUUUGAUUGUUAAUUGAGAGGCCAAACCCAAACUCAAUCCCUUACAAAACUAACAUUUGUUUUGUAAAAUUGGCGAAUCCUUGAAUACCCAAACAUUAGCUUACUAAACUAAAAUCUAGAUUGUCAGAUUUGGUGAGAUCUAGAUUAAACUCACCAGUAUCAAUGUUUGAAAUGUAAUUUAAACAGACUCCUCACUCCAACUCAUCUAUAUCCAGGUCAUUAAAGUUCUUGCAAGGUUGUGCCACGUGAAGGCUUACAUGUGAGCUUCACCCAAUAAUUUGUAUAUUUAUAGUCGUUUUAGCAAAUCUUUAAUCUCAAUAAAUCUCUAAUAUGCAUAUUUUGGCAAUAAAUUUCUAAAAUAGGACUAUGCAUAUCUUGACAGUAAAUAUACAUAACAAAAAUUGUUUACGAAUACAUAGAUUGAUCAAUCAUAUUCCACAUCAUACUCUCAAGUUAGUUUCGUUGUGUGUUUUCAAGUAGAUUGGUUUGAAAGCAAAAUUAGAACAAUUACCGGAUGCAUAAUUGACAUAGGCGGGACUACUAAAGCGUAUUAAGAAUAUUUUGAUAAGCAUAACCAUAAAUCAAUUAGCAGGCCUGAGGUGAGAGUUGUCGCACCUUUAUUUUUUCUUUCUUUUUGGCUGGAGACAGUAUUUCAUUCCACAAGAGGAAAACAAGUACAACAACAUCAUUCAACAAAAGAGAUAAUAAGGAUGAGCAUUUCAUUCCAUCGUUCUUUUCUCUACUUAUAUAUCUUCCCUUCAAGCUUCUUUUUUAGUCUUAUGAACACAUUCCAUGCAUAGUCCGCCUCACUGAGGAUCUUCUUAAGGUCUAGGUAAUGCUUCUCGAAAAACAGAAGAACUUCUCCCCUUCUAGAUAUGCCAACUAAUGAAAAGCAAUUUUCAUCAACAAAACCCGCCUUUGAUCUUUAUUUGAGCUUGUUGUACCAAAAAUCAUUGUUGUAACCAUCUAUCGACAUAAGUGAAUUGUUCUUUAUUAAUGUUUAAGCCUAAACCACCAAAAUAGGCAUAGUUAAAACACCCACGGCAUGUUCUCUUGCACCCAUCAUAGAAUGGGGCAUUGUCAUGACCUAAUUUUGGGUGAAUCACUUAGAGUUUGAUUAAUAGAUUACUAACUCUAGAGUUAGCUCAAGCUCCUCGAAAUCCAUAUCAAUUUACAACUUAUAGUCCAAGUUCUUAACAUACAAAAUUAGUUUUAUUUAGGAGUCAUCAUUAUUCAAUUUAUGGUAUGUAGAUCAGAUAUCUAAGUAAAGCAACAUGAGAAGUACUUUAUUCCUAUGAACUAGAAAAUCUAGGGUUGAGAACUUAAUUACAUCAGUUAUCCAACUAAUGUCCUUUUAGUAUCUAAUCUCAUGUAAUACGAUGUUUAAGCAGCCUUCUCGCAAAUCAUAAGUCUUAAGGUUUUAUUCCUAACCAGGCUCAAGGGAGACAACGUUGUAUUACAAGUCCACAAUAAAGUAAUAAUUGAAAUAGAAAUGCACAAAAAACAACCUAGUAUAUGUCUUUAAGAACAUUCAAAACUCUAUCAUAAAGCCCUAAGGGCUUAUUCAAUUUUUGGGUGAAGGAAUUUUUUUUAUCAAGAAUUUUCACACAUUUUAAGAGAAAACAACUUAAAACUAUCUUCGUUACCAAAAAAAGAAAAGAAAAAAAACAACAACAACUUAAAACUAUCUUUUAAGCUUUUCCAUAAUUUUUUAGGAAAAAAUAAAUUUUCUUUGGAAUUUUAAAUUUUUUUUAAAUUUUAUUUUUAUGAACAAUUAAUUUUUUAUCUGAAAAUAGGUACCUGGUCCGCGUAAGGACAGAACCUUAGGACACGUUUGACAACAUUUUUAUUCCAGGGAAUAAUUUUUUUUUUCUGUUCUAGAGAACAAUUUUUGAGUAUAAGAACACGCUUGGUAAGUACAAAAAAUUUCUACUCCAGGAACAGGAACAGUAAUACGUUUGGUAAGAUUGUAUAAUUUUUUUGUUUCUUUUAAUUUUUCAAUAUUUUUAUUAUAUAUAUUUUUUUUCUUUCUUUUUUCUUUCUUUCUUUUGGCCGGUCACCAGCUUUGGCCAUGGCUGAUGAGGCUGGACGAUCUCGCCGACCCCCGACGAGGCCGAGCUCGCCUAGCUAUUGGUGAGGCUCGACCUUGCCAGGCCACCGUUAGGCGAUGUUGACCUAGUGGUGGCCCGAAACGCUCCAGCGAGGUCACCAACCCUCGACGGCUGGUCGCUAGCCAUGGCCGAGGCCAACAACCGGCCAAAAGGAAGAAGAAGGAAGGAAGAAGAAGGAAAGGAAUACGGAGGAGAAAAGAAGAAGAAGAAAAAUGAGAAGGAAAAAUAAGUGUUUCUUGGAAUUGUUUUCGGGAAUAAGAAAUAAGUUUUUUCUACUUCUUAUUGCUGUUCCAAAUCUAUUCCUAGGAACAAAAAAAUAGAUUUUUUGUGUUUUAGGAAACAGAGACAAAAAUAAACAAACAGGCCCUUAGUCUCGUCGAUACGGGCCAUAUAUAUACAUUGGGCUCUCAAGUCAAGUCCACUUAACCGAACCCACUUCACAAAAUUCAAACCCAGCCCAAACAAGAUUAGAUCCAAACCCAAUUAACUAAACCAGGCCCAACUCACCAAACUACAGCUAAAGCCUGACACUCACCACCCUUGUAGCAUAGACGAAGCCCCAAUACCAAAACUAACACUUCAAGCCCAAGGCUCACGAAGUCUAAAUGAGCCCAAAGCCCACUACUCUCCCCUCAUCAAAUUUUCCAAUCCCACAACUGCUCCUCAACGUCGUCUCCUUUGAGCACACGCCCGAAACGCCUGCGACCUUCCCUCAUCUUUCAUGCUCGGUUCCCUGAUCCCGGAACUCCCCACCUCCAAUCUCUUCCGCGAUGGAGUUUUCACAUCUAUAGAUUAGUACCUAAAGCUUCCCUGAACCGGAAACACUCAAACCUCACACCGAUAAUACUCUUAUGCCACCGUCGCUAAUUCUCGGCCAUCAGCUAUAACCAUUGCCAUAUUACCAGCGACCACCAGCCACUUACUUUCACAGCCAGUCAUGACCGGAGAAGAACAGAAAGAGCACGGAUUUAGCUUAUACAUUUUAUCGAACCCUUGGUGGGCGUCGACUGACAGGAAGCACAACAAGCAUUUGAGGCACGGGCCCAAGCCUAAUACAUCCAUAAUAAAAAAACAACGCCCAGCAUAAACAAUACGAGCACGAGAAACCUGGCGUGCGUGAAAACCAGAGCCGACCAGCCUGGGUCCGUAGAUUAAAUAAAAUAAAAUAAAAUAACACAGGCGCUGGAGCGUACGUCCGCGAGAUCCCUAACCGGCUCGGCAACGACGGCCAGAAGGCAAAACCGAAGCUCGGCUCUGUGUCUCGCUUUCUCUCAGUCCCUCCCUCUGCUUCCCUCUCCCUUUUCCGAAUGGUCAGCCCCCUCUCUUUUUCAAGAGAUCUCCCCGGUGAGCCCCCCUGCCACCACCUAUCUCCUCGGGACCAAGUUAGGUCCAUUUCCAGCUAAGCUGGCCUCUGAACUCGUGGCUAGCACGCCCCCUCUACCAGCCGUAGUUUUGUCUGUCGCCUGCUUUCUCUGCCUCCUACGCUACGUGCGUGAGGGAGAGAAGAAGAGAGACAAAAACGAUGGGGGUCUGGGCUGAGAAGGAAGAAAAGCCCCUCGCCCCCUCUCUUCCUUUUAAAAAAAUUAUUAAUUUUUUAAAAAAAGGAAGUAUGUUUUAAUAAAUAGUUAAUACCCUGAAAAACCUACACGUGUGAUAAAUUUACCUCAAAUUAUUUUUUUAACAAUAAAAAAUCAUAAACUGGUACACCUGUGACAAAUUUACCUCAAUUAACCAUAAAAAAUCUAAAUUGGUAUUACCCCAAACUAAUUUAUUCGAUCGUCAAAAAUCCUAAACUUGUACAUUUAUUACAAAUAUGUCACAUGUUAAAUUAGAUUAAUACCACAAAAAAAUCACAAAAAUUGUAAAGCGUGACAUUUAACUUAAUAAUUUGACAGUAAAAUUUAAUGGAAAUUAACAAAGGGUAAAUUUUUCACAAGUGUACCCGUUUGGGGUAAAUUUGUCAAAGGUGUACACGUUUAGGGUUUUUUUUUUUUUUUGGUAAAAGACACUUUUAGGGUUUUUAGUGAUCAAAAAAUUAGUUUGGAAUAAAUUUGUCACAGAUGUAUCAGUUUGGGGUAUUUCAAGGUAUUAACUCUUUAAUAAAUUCUAUUACUAUAAAUGCAAGUAUUCCUAAUAUCUGUAUGCUAUGUAAUUUACUGAAAAUUGUUUUUGUUAGGGGCCAAGGGUGGUCCCUAAAUUUUUUGGGAUAAAUAAAUAGUGAAAAUUUAGAUAUCAAAUAGAUAUUUACCUGUUACCUUGAUUCACUUUAAUCCUCCCAUUAGCUCUGUUAGGUUAUAGUGGAUGUAAAAUUUAAAAUGUGCUUUUUUUUUUAUUAACAACAAUUUAUGAUUGACAAAUAAAACAAAAAAAUAUGUGUUGUUUAGGUCAUAACACGAGUGAUUCUCUCCCGUUUCGAUUUUUUAUUCAAAGAAAGAUGAUAUAUAUCAAUAAAUUAACAAUAAAAGAAAGAUCCAACCUCAGCCUCUUAAAAUCCAUGAAAUUGUCAAAGACACAAGUACAUUAAAUUUGCCAGUUUCAAGACUUGAAUGCAUGAAAUAAAAGUUUUAAAACUCAAGUGCAUUAGUGAUAAGUUUUAGAACUUGCCCUAUAAUUGUCCCAUUUUCUUUUGAUAUUUUAAAUUGGGAUCUAAGGUAACAUUGAAGACCAUAUGAUAGCCCCUUCAAUAUUUUCUCGAAAGUUGAUCGAUUUCCAGUCAAAGUAAAUCUAUUGCAAGACAAUAAAAAUUUGCUACGAUUGGGAAAUAAAAAGUUGAAUUUCGGCAAGCCAAAAGCGGACUGACUUCUAAAUGCAAUGACCACAAACAAAAACUACUUGCAGACUGAGUGUGAUGCGAGGAAAGCAGAGGGAUUCAUAACGGAGUCAAAGAGGAAACUCGCAAGUAUAUUUAGGUAGCAUGUAUCGCAGCUUUCUUUGGUGAAUAUUCUACAGAAAACCAGUGAUAUGGUUAAGGGAUGAUUAAAUGGAUUAGCUAGAAUUCACAUAGGAAGAACAUAUAGAGUUCGCUUCCCAAAGAAGGUUAUUAUAUGAACCCACACAUAAGUCCCAUCUAGGGUCAUGAAGCCCCCCAUGGACCUGGUUUUCUUAAUGAACAAUAUGGUAUUUCAAAAUUUAGUGAAAUUAAAAGUAAUUCCACGCUAAACUCGAAAUCAAAUAAUGUUUUUAUUAAUCAGGCAGGGGAGAUGAAAAAGUUUAUCAGGUAAAACUAAUAAAGCAUGGCUUAAUAUUUCACAGAAUUACUUGUCAAUAAAUUCCUGUCAACUUGGGAUAUGAGUUCUUUCAGAUUUAGACUUCAAAAAAUUUGUUUCGUCUAGGACCUUCUUCCUUUUUAUUUUGAUAAAAAGUUGUUUCUUGCAUAAACAGAUGUGUCUACUUUUUAAAACGUAUAAGUGGAUAUUUUCUCUGAAAAUGAAUUCGUAUGUCGUUUAUUUCGAGAAAUCAUAUGCCGAUAGUAGCGCAUUAAGUAGCAAGAUCACAGGUUAUUAUUAGCAAUUUUAUUGGCAUUGCCCUAAACCACGUAUUGAGGGAGAAAAUUUCGCAAUGUCCAUCACCUGCACCACCGUUUUUGUGCGUGCUCUCUUAUGAAUUUUUUUAUCCUUUCGAAGGAUGAAGCAAGAGAGUACAGCUAAAUGAAAUACAAUAACCCAACCUUAACCUAAGAACUAGACGAAGACAAUCUCGGAAGUAAUUACUGUCGAGCUAAACUAGCUCAAUUCCCCUCGUACACAAUACUAGAUUGCGGGGACAUGUGACAAAUACACAAAGCUUUUCUAAUCAAACUGUGCAUGGUUCUCUAAACAUUAUUACUAUCUCCAAAAGGAAAAUUAGUGGAAAGUAUUUGGAGUGCUUAAUGAAGUUGAGAAUGUGUUUAGUUCCAUCUCCGUUUUGUCCCUGUUUACUGCCUCAUCCGGUGGGUAAAAUAAGCAGUUUUUGAGGCAUUUGAAGAUUACCAAUAUCUUAUUCUAGUAUUUCUAGGACUUUACUUAUUGAAGGCCGAUGGUUAGAAUAUAACUGUAUACACUAUAAUGCAACUAUUAUCAUCUUUUUUGUCACAUUCCUUUCCUCUUCCGCAACUUCUUCCAUUUCAACAGCUUUGCCUUCAUUAACUUGGUUGUACACCCAUAGUGGAAAUAAAUUUGGCUUGAAUGCUCCGCAUCGGCAUGUAUAUUUUUCCUUCUACCUACCAUUUCCAUGAGCAACAUCCCAAAGCUAUCGACGUCCACUUUAUAAGAUACACCACCGAUGUUUUUAUAGAACAACUUAGGUGCCAUAUGCCCUAAUGUCCCUCUUGCAGUAGUAAAUGAUACUGUGCUAUGAUUAAUGGGAUAAAGUUUCAUAAGCCCAAAGUCAGGAACUUUCGGAGUGAAAUUCUUGUCUAAAAGAAUGUUGCGAGGCUUGAUGUCAAAAUGUAAAAUUUGCAUCUCGCACCCUUGAUGUAGGUAUUCGAUACCCCUCGCAACGCCAAGAGUGAUCUCAUAUAUUUUCUUGUAAUUAAGAAACUUAUCACCUUCCGUAGGAAAAUGAGCUUAUCCAAAGAUCCGUUUGACAUGAAAUCAUAUACAAGAGCUUGUUUUAAGCCUUCAAAGCAAAAUCCAAUGAGUUGCACCACAUUAACAUCGUCAAUUCUUUCAAUAGUAGCAAAUUCACUAAUAAAACCUUGGCCAAGGGCCUUGGACUGCUUUAAAAUCUUUAUGGCCACUUCAUUGUUGCUUCUAAGAGAUCCUUUGUACACGGAACCAUAACACCCUUCACCUAGUUUGUGCUUAAAAUUUUUGAUGACUUUCUUAACAUUCGAGUAAGAGUACCUUAUGAGCAUGUCAUGAACUUGCAAAAAUUCUUCGCUAUUCUUAUCCAUUGCUAAAUGCCUUCCUCUAUACUUGUAAAAUAAAAAUAUCAAGGGAAAUGGCUUCCCAAUUACGAAUUUCACUGCACAAAAUUGCACUAACGAAAAUUUUGAUAGGUUAGAUUUUUUUUAAAAAAAAAAUUAUCUUAGGCGUAAAUCAUUGCGGCUUACCUAGUGUUGCUGUAAAUUCAAAAGUUGUCCAAAAUGCAUAAAAAUCGACACCUAUGGAAAGAACCAAUGAUGUGAAAAGAAAUUCAAGGAAAAGAAGUAUGGAAAACAAAAAACUCAUGAUAAAAGAUAGCAGUAGUAAGCUACUUUGUAUAAGUUGAAUUUUGUCCAAAAGAAUAUGAUAAGUGCGAUGGGGGCAUUUGCAAAUAAAUAAAACUAAUAAGCUUGAAUUCACAUAUAUGAUAGAUGAUGACACAAGAAACUCCUUUUCCUUAGUUAGCAGUCAACAAAUAAUGAGAUAUAAUUAUUUUCUUUCUUAAGUAAUAGUUUUGCUCCUCCUCUCAUCAUGAAUACAAUUUUUUAGCGAAUUUGUUAAACAAGCGUCUCUUAAAUUAUUUGUUAAGUAACUAACUGAGGAACUAAUUAAGAAAAUCUAAACUCUUUGCCAACAAAGAUACUAGUUAUGUGGCUGUUCGCACAAGAACCCCUUUGUUUUUUUAGAGUGGGGAGGUUAGACCUCAUGUGGAAAGGAAUUAUGUUCUAGGCGCCUGUAUAUGUGCAGCAAAUGAUGGGUCUGUUCAGGUGACUUUUACCGUCACUUUUUUUUUCCCCGAAUCUUGCAACUCCUACAAUUUGAUUUUAAUAGGUAAAAGGAAGCUCCCGAAACCUUUCAAAGAGACAAAUAUUGAUGUAUAUGAACAUGUAUGUUUUGUCAUUAUUUUAUCGGAUAUCAAAUAUUUCUUUCGUUUUUCAGAUUUGAAGAGAGAGUAGCAAGUGAAAUAGUGUACGGAUUCAUGCAAAAUUGCGUUUAAAUUUGAUUGCCUAACGAUGCUUACCUUAGUCGCCCAUGAAUCUGCAACCCGCAUUACUAAAGUAGAUGCUGAAGGAAUCGAAGAAGCAGAACAAAAUGUCCACCCAAAAGUUGAGAUCGAACCCAUCGGCCAUGAUGUUAUGGAUUAGCUUGUAGUUGUGGGAGCUGCUAUUAUUCUUCUCUUCGCCCCCAAAAUAAUAUGAUAUCCACAUCCAACUAUGAAUGGUGCAAAAAUCUUUGAUAUCCGAUGCCGUUGGAUUGAUCAAACAUACAAGUUCCAAUUUGAUGAUGUGUUGGAAGAGUAUGAUCCCUUAAUGCAUGGAUCGGUAGAGAUGUAGAAUGGAGAACUGGCUAACUUUGAGCAGUUCACAAUGACCAAUGUAGGUAAGCUGCUCAUGUAGUAUGAAAAGCUUUGAUACCUCAACAAUGAAUGGCAAGGGAGAGACGAGCAGUUAUUCUUUUGCAACCCAUCGUCGACCAAUCUGAUUUGGCUAGUGGAAUAAUUAAUAACCUGCACACAAUAUUGGCCAUUAUGGAUGUAUAGAACAGUGCAAUUAUCUUCACAAGCCAGCUCAUGCUUUGAGUUACCACAUCCUUUGAGGUCACUCUUAAGUAGAAACGGAUAGCUUAUACUGCGAAUGUCACCACAUUAUGAAGUGCACCGUUAAUUACUUGGCUUGACAUGGUUAGUCAUCGCUAGAAAUAGAACAAUAAUGAGUAGCAACACUUGACAAAUACUCAUGGAGCUGAGAGCAUUAAUCAUGCCUCUGUUUGUCUUUGAGAAAGGGGAAAUCGGUAAAGAAUUGUUGGGUGGGUGUGGAGGAGGCGCAUUAUAAAUAGAUUAGAAGAGAUUGGACGAUCCUUGCUUGAUUGGAGACUUGAUCUGUUUUUCUAGAUGCACUGAAUAUACGUAUGUGCUUUAAAGGUGGGUGGGUCUCAAAUAGGGAUGGCCACUGGCCGUUCUUUUAAUAAUGGAACUUCAGUUUGGGUCUCAUGGAGAACAGGAUCUUCUUUCGCAUUUGAUCUUUCCUUCUCCACUUUUAGGCCCUGUUUGGUAACCAUCCAAACAAGGCCAAAUUCUGAUUUUUUGUUCCUAGGAGUAAUUUGGGAACAAAAUCGCGUUUGGUAAAAUUUUUGUUCCCGGGAACAGAUUUGGAGUUGAAUCAAGAAUAAAAAAAAAAAAUUGAUUCUUGUUCUAGGAACAAAAAAAAGAAUAAAAAAAGUGGAACCCUUCUCUCCCUGUCCGCCACUACCCGUCGUCGCCCUUAACUGUCGUCCGCCAGUUGCCGACAACCAGUUCGGCGAGGCUUGGCCUCGCCAGUGGCCAGGCGGGCCUCGCCCAGCCCUGCGAGGCUCAGCCUCACUAGAUCUGGCGAGGUUGAGCCUCGGCGGGGCUGGGCAAGCCUCCAGCCCCACCGGUGGCCAGGCGGGCCUCACCCAACCUUGGCAAGGCUCGCCCAGCCCCGCCGGUGGCCUGGCAGGACUCGUCCAGCCCCGGCGAGGCCGGCUUGGCCAUUGGCAAGGCCGAGCCUCGCCCAGCUACUGGCGAGGCUCGACCGACGAGGGUUGGGCUCACCGAGGACCGGCGACGCUCCGGUGAGGCCGCCGGCCCUCGUCUAGCCAGUCGUCGGUCCGACGACUGGCCUGAAGAAGAAGAAGAAGAAGAAUAGGAGAAAAAAGAAAAAAAGUAUAAAAAUUAAAAGGAAUUGAUUUGGAACAGAAUCAAUUAACACGGUACCAAACGCAAUUCUAUUUCAGAAUUAGAAAUUUUGGACAGUUACCAAACGGCUUAAAAUGCUUAGAAUCUGUUCCUAGGAACAAAAUAAAAAAUAAAAAAAAUCAUUUUUGAUCAGAAUCUACUCCCGGGAACAGAAUUGUUACCAAACAUGCCUUUAAUGGCCAUUAUUCUUCCACUAUCUCUAUGUGAUUGCUGGGUCCACACCCUCUCUCUCUCUCUCUCUCUCUCUCUCUCUCCAAUCACUUGGCUUCUGAUACACAUAUCUAUCUUCUUAAUUUCUUCUUUGUUUUUUUUCCUCCUCCCUCCUUCUUUCCAUUUUCUUUCUUCACCGCUCGGAUCACAAUCAAAGGAAAAAUUGAAGUACAGUACUGAGGCCAAAGUUCAGAAAUAAAAACUAAGCUUGCCUCGGAACUACUACUUCUACAUCUUCUUUGAACCUUUUCUAUUCGGUUGUCAAGUCACAAACUUCAGAUAUAAUUCAAUUGCUUACAUGGUCAAAUUAUUCCAUGAAAUAAAUAAAUAAGAAAAUAUAAGGAAUGUAUCGCAUGUGAUAUAAUGCAUGAGGAAUUUGAAGCAACAGUGGGUCCUAAUGACUUUCAAUAUCAUAGGGUCUUUACAUUAUGCAUAUUAAAAGUUUUGUAACCCGAAUAAUUGACGGGACACGAUAUAGGGAUAAUUUUCUUGGCUGGAAUCAGAAGGGACAAAUACUUUAAAAAUAAUUGAAGAAAAAAGAAACUCUAAUAGCCUUUCAUGUGGAUUGGAGACUAGCAUGCGAGAUUAGUGUCAUCACUUCAAACUAGUGACAUCUCUCUUUUGAUGUGCACUUCUAACUAACUCUGAUCAAUUGAUAUAGUGGACCUAUUUUUUUAAAAUAUAAUAAAUAUAGAUAUGCAAGAAAACUUUGGUUUGCCUAUGAAAAUAGAUUAGCAGUGCGAGGUUAAGGUUGCUAACUAAGGAGAUAUUUGUUGUCGUGUGGCCUUUUGCACAAAGCAGAGCUAUAGACUCGCUUUUUGAAAGCAGUAAGGAGAGCCGCCGUCGAUGGCCUCUUUACUUUGUUGAACUUCGCGCAAGAGAGAGUUCAAAGGUAAGAAGACAUGAAGAAUCAAUGGACUCGCCCUUUGCAACACCAGGAGAAACAUCUCGCGUUCUGAGUGAUUUAGUUGCAAGGCAUUUGUCGUGUCUCACAUGUCCGUUGUUUUUUAACUUAGAAAAGGGUGUAUCAUAUAUAGAAUCACCUUCAUAUAACCUCUGUGACACUCGUUAAGCAUGCUAAAAAUAGCAACUAUUGUUUUGUAAAAAAUACAUAUAAAUUGAACAUAAAAAAAAUGACUUAUACAUGUUGCUACCAGCAUGUAGAUAUUACCUUAGUCGAACAUCUAUUUUCGCAUUCUCGAAAGAUAUUUAAAACCCUAAUCAACACAUUCUAAGAAACUUUUUAACGUUUACCAUUUGAAACCGUACUAAUAUAUUGACUAUUCGCUUGAAAGAUAGAGUGAGGGCAUAUUACCCUUUGUGAGUCUUGAGCAUCUCUUUGAUGCUUUGAGGCAUGGCAUUCUGAGAGGUAAAUCCAUUUCAAAUGUGAUAAGCGUGUUCUUCUCAUUGGCUUUGUAUUGAUUAACUGACAAUAUAAAGACAUUCUGUGAUAUCCUGAAUUUCAGGUUUUGAUUUCGAUUGGAUAAAAUGGGCCUUUCGUCAAUGUGGAUAUAGUGUUUUUCUCUGAGUUGGCCACUCACGAGAUAACUGGCCUAUCCGAUGAAGCCAUUCAGGGAUUUUAAACGCAAUAGACUUGAGAAUUCGACCAUGAAUUGACUACUCGAUCGUGCUAGUCUGCAAGGGUCAUUACGGCAUUGUCAAAAUCGAUCAAAGAUCAGAGAUAGGUUGAUUCGACUGAGAUGUGUGAUCAAGUAUGGGUGAUGCCACCUGAUUGCAAAAUUCUUAUCGAUCGGCACUAAACAGAUUUUCUGUUGUUUUGGGUACCCUGUGCCUAUAUUUGAAACCUUGAGAUUUUCACAACCACCGGGAGUUGCCAAUGUGUCGGAUGGGUUUAUUGUGGUUCAAAGAAAAUCGAUCACGAGUCAAUUGCACCGAAAAUCCCUAAAAGCUACUCGGUAGGUAAGGUCAUACUAAAAGUACGUUUGAUUGAAAAUAACCACGAGUUUGAAUUUGAUUUCAGAAAUUGGAAGUCUUGUCAUGUCAUGAGUCAUUCUAAGAACGUCGACUCACCUUUUGAGAAAAUUCUGAAGAAUUCGAGAUUUUUGGAGGAAAUCGGGAUGGACGAUUCAGAAAACGAGUGGGAAUUCAGAUUGGCCUAUUUGAAGGGAUUUUUGACAUCUGAUAUGAGUGAAUCGGUGAAUGGAAGUUGCUUGAGCUUUUUCUGAAUUCGAAUUGGACCUCAACCAGAUUUAUUUGUUCAGAAAAUCGAAUACCGAGAAAAAUGAAAUGGAAGUCGGUUUCGAAGGAAAUUCGUGGGAUUAAAGGACCAUCUUCAAUUGGAUUUCAAAUGUUCAAGUUGGUGAAGAAAUUGAUCCUACGGUGACCAAUUGACUCAGUAAUUUUUGAAGUGGAUCGAGAGUUGUAAUUGUGGUUCUGUUUUAUUCUUCUUCUCCUCUUGGACUCACGUCAUCCGCAGACCCUCACACCCUUCAUUUUCGGCCACACUUAUUUCUUCUUUUCUCUUUCUUUUUGGUCGACGGUCCAUGCUAAUCUUCCUUGUUCUUUUUGACUUUGGUCUUCUUUUGCCUUGAUUGUUGACCGUGGGGCCUCACUUCUUCUUAUCCGAUUACGUACUUCUCUCCCUCUCUUUCUUUGUCUUUUCUUUUAGCACGUUUCCUCACCUGGCCGACAGCCCCACUCUGCUCUCUUAUCUUUUAACUUCUUUUUGUUCCCUUCUUCGGUCUUCCGCUGGAAGAAGCCAGCGACGUCGACACCUCCCCUUCGGUCUUCAUUUUCAUUUUCCUCACAUAUCUCUCUCCCUCAUGCCUGCUUCUCCACCAAGCCGUAUCUUCUCGGUCAACAGCAACAACCCCCCUUCCCCUUCGUUGACCACCAGCAAACGACGCCAGCUACCCCUUUGUUCUUCCCUCUCCGUCGCCCGUGAUCUGUCCCUCACUGUCGCAGCCACACGUCCAGCAGUACGAUCAGCCCAUCUCCUCUUUCGGUCCAGCAAUCGUGACCAUCAGCAGCUCCUCUCAGCGACGCGUCUUCAACGCCACAGCAACAACGUCCGAAGCUGCCAUCCCAGUCAACACGGCGAUUUCUCUGCUGGUCUGUAGACCACCGAUUCCCCUUUUUCGUGGCCGCACAACCGAAGCAGCUCUUGCGCCAUCUUCAGUCCACGUCUCCAGCGAAACCAUCUCCGCCGAGGCAAGUUUCGAAGCCCAUCUUCAAUCAGCAGCCCACGCAGCAGUCCAGCAAAAUCAGCCCAUCGUGAGUCCAUCCCCACCGAGUCCAGCUCAGCCCACAAACUAAUGGAUUUCAGCCCGCGAGCUCAGUCCAUUUCAGCCCAUAAGAAAUCAGCCCAAUUCGGCAACUCCAUUCAAGCCCACGAGCCCAAAUGAAUUCAGUCCAUCAAAAGCCCAGCGAAUUUUUGAGGCCCAAGCCCAAUGUCUGCAGCAAGCCCAUCCCAACUCAUUAACAAAUCUUGAUUUGGGCUGAGAUUUGUUGGGCCCGUUUUAGGCCUGGCUUAAGUCCGCCGACGCCGCCGAAAAUUCAGAUUUUGGCCGCUGUCGCGCCGUCGUCGCGGUGAACCGGUUUCCGCAAUUAACCGGUGAGUUUAUACUCUAAACUCUGCUUAGUAGGCUAAUAACGUUUAAGGAGUGUUUAGAUUUAUUUUAUUAGGAAUUAGGUGGUUAGUUAGAUUAAAUUAGAAAUGUAAUUAUUUAAUUGAGCAUGUUAGGUGGUUAGCAUGAUUUAGCUAAAGCCUAAAUAAAGUGUACUAUUUAUCUAGAAGGGUUCAGAAAUUUCUCCGAGUCCGUAUUGGUUAUUAAUUUAAUGAUUCUGG